Nicotiana tabacum (common tobacco) is the source of this 522-nucleotide non-coding RNA. The record is from RefSeq and is a predicted model, not a curated record. Lineage: Eukaryota; Viridiplantae; Streptophyta; Magnoliopsida; Solanales; Solanaceae.
GACCAAGGAUAAAAUUGUCUUUAUACUCUCCAUCUAGAAUUGCCUUUUCGAUUUUCUCAUCUUUUCAAUCUGUCAUAGUCCUUUUAGCUUCAUCUGCCAUAAAACACGUACUUGUACUCGCCGGCGACAGCAACCAAGCCCAAAAGUAAAUAUGAUUGAGAUUUUCGUUUAAAAGGAAAACUAAAAUAUUGGGAUUCUGCUUGGUCGAAUGAAGGAAAAAGCUGUUAUUGCCAAGAUCUGCGAUGGAACUUCAUGAUCUUCUGGCACGAUGUUUGGUGAUGAUCAUUGCAGUGGUACAAAUUGCUAGGAUCAGCUCAUGUCUCGGUACUGAAGUAUUAAAUGAACACCUGUGUAUCGCUGCAAGACAAUGUCAAAUUUGCACCAAAGCUGUCUGCUUUACAUCGAAAGCUGAUUGGUGAAGGCUCCCACCGGUGUCUGUCAUCAUCUCUCAGAUUGAAGAUGCCAUCGGAGUCCAUUUCCAGGCCUCCAAAAUCUUGUGAGGUGAUAAUUGUUGAAAGACUG